This 906-nucleotide unclassified non-coding RNA is filed under the name Haliotis rubra (blacklip abalone). Its description in RNAcentral is "tumor necrosis factor-like, transcript variant X2". The record is from RNAcentral. Lineage: Eukaryota; Metazoa; Mollusca; Gastropoda; Lepetellida; Haliotidae.
GCAGAUGUCGCAGUGUGGUCGAUGCAUGACUGGUUCUAUUGUUCAGUGUUGGAGCGUUCGCGCAGGUGCAGCAGACCCCGGAAGCUACCCGAUCCGACCAGGCUGGUUCUGUUGAUUCCUCUGUAGGUCAACUAAGAGCAAACUACUAAAGACUUUCGUUUUCGUUGUAAGACGCCGCGUUGGGGUGCUGAAAGCAUCUAGGGUGCACAUCAUUACGACAUGAUUGCUAUGAAAGCAGUGACGUUGUUGGUGGCUGCAAAUAUCAUCCUGCUUGUUGCUGUGGUCGUCGUCUUGGCUUUCUACAAACAGACUGGGAGCACGAGCUUCACGGAUACACACUCUGACGUCAUCGAUGCACAGCUUAACGCCCUGUGUGCGGAGACAGUUUCAGAAAACAACUAUCCUCGGGAGUGGGCGGUGUCACAAGAACUGGACGGCAGUUUAUGGAAGCAGCUGCUCACCUGGUCAUUGAUCCCCGAGCAAAGUACACAGCCGCAGUUUCUGUUUUGAACUGGAGAGAGGACAGCAACAGCACCUUCGUUGGUGACAACAUCGAACACGACGCCGGAAGCCUCACAGUGAAGGACGGUGGUUACUACUUCAUCUAUAGCCAGAUCUUGUACCGAGGUGAAGGCACCAGAGAGCUGGAGUAUGGACGGGUACUGCAUAUUGUGUUAAAGCAGAGAAUGUCCGAGCUGUCUGAAUCUCCCACACCGUUGAUGAGGAAUCUCAUAUCCACGCCCUCCAUCAGGAGAGGUCACCUGACCUACGCGAGCAGUGUACUUGGGGCCACCUUCUACCUUGACCCCAACACCAGACUCACUGUCAAUUCUAGUGUCCCUGGGAACAUUGAUGCAACAGGCUCUCCACACUCUAACGUCUUUGGUCUAUUUCUUGUUUAAUGUA